AAUAAGAUGCCUGAAUAAAGGGCUAUCUUGAUAGGAUAGAUUAUGUAAAUUUUACUCUUAUUA
RNAcentral lists this transfer RNA (63 nucleotides) under Melamphaus faber. RNAcentral's name for it is "tRNA-Ile". Lineage: Eukaryota; Metazoa; Arthropoda; Insecta; Hemiptera; Pyrrhocoridae. The record is from RNAcentral.